Molecule: ribosomal RNA, 1782 nt
Filed under: Triticum aestivum (bread wheat)
Lineage: Eukaryota; Viridiplantae; Streptophyta; Magnoliopsida; Poales; Poaceae
Description: partial small subunit ribosomal RNA
Source: RNAcentral
AUGAGAUCCCCAUCCCUCGAGCCAGCCGCGGCCGCCUCGCCGGUCCCCCGGGCUGCGGCCUUCGGGCGGGUCCGGGUCGCCCACGGCGCGCGGGGGCCGCGUGGCGUCGCGGGCGCCGGCGUCGCUGGGACCGCGGGCCGCCUGAGGGUGCUCGUCGCCGCGCUCCCGGAGCCCCUCCUCCACCGGCUCAUGCCCGCGCAGGAGGGCGCCGCAGCACUGUCGCCGGAGGCUGAUGAGGUGCAUGGGGACAUGGCUUCUGCCGAGAUUUCGUCACCCGCUGCUCGUGCUGUUCCUGGAAGCACAGUGCGUGUCAGAUUUGUGCUAAAAGAGCGGUGCAACUUCGGCCAAAGCUUCCAGAUGGUCGGCGACGACCCGGCGCUCGGCCUGUGGGAACCGGUGAGGGCGGUGGCUUUGGAUUGGUCUGAAGGCCACAAUUGGACAGUGGAGAAAGAUUUGCCUGCCAACAGGCUGAUUGAGUUCAAGUUCUUGCUGCAAGAUUCCCUGGGGAAGUUCCACUGGCAGAAUGGACCUAACAGAACCCUACAGACAGGUGAAACCACAAAGACAUUGGUGGUCUACGAGGAUUGGGGUAAUGCGAAGAAUCAGAAAGUAGCAGAGGAGGGAGACGCCCCGGUUCAAAUGAUGGAGGCAGUUCUCGAUGGUGAUCACGGCAGAAAUGGUGUUGUUUCGGCACAUGAGCUACAAGUGUGUGACAAUCAAGAGAUGAAAGAACCAGAUGCGCCCAUGCCGAUCCCUUGGGGCGGAGCUUUUGGCCGGGUCCGGGUCACCUACGGCGGGCAGGGGCUGCGGCGCGUCGGCAGCGAUGGCUUGGCUGGGACUGCCGGCCGCCUGAGCGUGCUCGUCACCGCGCUACCGAAGCCCCUCGAGCAGCUCGUGCCCACACAGGAGGGUGGCAUAGCACUAGCGCCGGAGGCUGAUGAGGUCCAGGGGGGAGUGGCCUCUGCUGAGAUUUCGUCACCACCUGCUCCUGCUGUUCCUGGAAGCACAGUGCGCGUCAGAUUUGUGCUAAAAGAGCAGUGCACCUUUGGCCAAAGCUUCCACCUGGUCGGUGAUGUCCCAGCACUUGGCCUCUGGGAACCGACGAAUGCGGUCGCUAUGGAUUGGUUGGAAGGCCAUGACUGGACCGUAGAGAAAGAUUUACCUGCCAACAGGUUGAUUGAGUUCAAGUUCUUGCUCCAAGAUUCCUUGGGAAAGUUCCAUUGGCAGAAUGGGCCUAAUAGAAGCCUACAGACAGGUGAAACCACAAAGACAUUGGUGGUCUACGAAGAUUGGGGUAAUGCGAAGAAUCAGAAAGUGGCAGAGGAGGGACACACCCCGGUUCAAAUGAUGGAGACAGUUGUCAAUGAUGAUCACGGCAGAAAUGGUGUUGUUUCGGCACAUGAGCUACAAGUGUGUGACAAUCAAGAGAUCAAAGAGGAUGAAUCAACUAUAAGCGAUGAUGAUAAUUCAAUGGCUGCUGCUAUUGCAUCUGUUGGAGAGGAAACAAUGAAGGCAUGUGAAGCUGAUCAACCAGAGCUAUUGAUGGGCGAACAGAAAAUUCAAGAUGAGCUUCGUUAUGAAAUAGACACAGCACCCCAGAAUGGCAGGGCUACGACGUAUGCUGAUGCUGAUGGUGAAUACGAUGAAACGACCGACGAUGAUAGUAUCCUGCCCAAGAAUGGCGCUCUGGUUAAGCAUGGGCUGGCAGGAGCUUUUGAGCGCGAGUUGCUUUGGGGUUGGAAGGCCUUGCAGCAGCUCGUGGGCUUCAAAGCGGACACAUGA